This 370-nucleotide ribosomal RNA is filed under the name uncultured organism. RNAcentral's name for it is "bacterial SSU rRNA". It matches the Rfam family "Bacterial small subunit ribosomal RNA", at positions 528 to 896 of the family's 1533-position model. The record is from RNAcentral.
GAGGGGGCAAGCGUUGUUCGGAAUUACUGGGCGUAAAGGGCGCGUAGGCGGCCUGCUAAGUCGAACGUGAAAUCCCUGGGCUCAACCCAGGAACUGCGUCCGAUACUGGUUGGCUUGAAUCCGGGAGAGGGAUGUGGAAUUCCAGGUGUAGCGGUGAAAUGCGUAGAUAUCUGGAGGAACACCGGUGGCGAAGGCGACAUCCUGGACCGGCAUUGACGCUGAGGCGCGAAAGCCAGGGGAGCAAACGGGAUUAGAUACCCCGGUAGUCCUGGCCCUAAACGAUGAAUGCUUGGUGUGGUGGGUAUCGAUCCCUGCCGUGCCGAAGCUAACGCAUUAAGCAUUCCGCCUGGGGAGUACGGUCGCAAGGCUG